RNAcentral lists this long non-coding RNA (731 nucleotides) under Mustela putorius furo (domestic ferret). Its description in RNAcentral is "lncRNA (ENSMPUG00000028811.1)". Lineage: Eukaryota; Metazoa; Chordata; Mammalia; Carnivora; Mustelidae. The record is from RNAcentral.
AUGGCUCAUCAAAGGCACCGCUGGCCCCCUGCUGCCAAACCCAAGUCCACUCAUGGUUCUUGUCUUCUCGGGCUCUCCCAGGGGCACAGAUCAGGUUGUCUUUCUUCAUUUGGCUUCCAAGAUGGGAAGAGCACAGUGAUGAUUUCAGAAGGUCCAGACACACCCAGGGACCAACAAUCACUCUCAGGAGUUGCCAGCCUAGGCCGGCUUGGGAGCGUGCUGAAGCCAGGGGAGAUGGGGUUGGAACCAUUUACAGCAUUUGUAUGCCUGGGAGACUGGGGGCAGGGGGAUGCCAGGGAUACACUCGGAGAUCAGGGGGAACCAGCCUUGAGAGCCAUUUCCCUCCAGCCCGUGCCAUGGGACUAUCCCAGUGCUGGAAUAGAUUUCACUGUGCGCGUCCGUAAAUGCACCCUACCUGUGCUGGACGUCAGGGACAAGAGACAAACAGGACAGGGAGCUCACACCCUGCGGGGGGGGGGGGGGGGGGGGGGGGGGGAGGCCCAGGUCAGCACAUGGCCCUGAGACCAUCACCUGCUUUAUCUCGCUCUUCCCCACCCACCCUCCCAGCCCAGAGAGGGUUGGGCUCUUCCCAGAAGACUCACCAAGGCAUUUCUGAAAUCGUACCUCUAUGCCAAGCCCUUGGCUUUUGAUGUUCCAGAGCCCAAGUCUUGGCUCUUUGUUCUGGUUCACCGUGACCACACCCCCUUGGAACCAAGAAGGGCUGCCCUGAG